This 479-nucleotide ribosomal RNA is filed under the name uncultured bacterium. Its description in RNAcentral is "bacterial SSU rRNA". It matches the Rfam family "Bacterial small subunit ribosomal RNA", at positions 26 to 518 of the family's 1533-position model. The record is from RNAcentral.
AGAACGAACGCUGGUGGCGUGCUAUACAUGCAAGUCGAGCGAGGCAGCAAUGCCGAGCGGCGAACGGGUGAGUAACGCGUAAGCAAUCUGCCCCAUAUCAGGAAAUACCCGUGCCAACGCGCGGUUAAUGUCCAGGAGAGUGGCCUUCUGCAUGGAGGGUUGACUAGAGAUUUAUCGGUAUGGGAUGAGCUUGCGUCCGAUUAGCUAGUUGGCGGGGCAACGGCCCACCAAGGCGACGAUCGGUAGCCGGCCUGAGAGGGUGAUCGGCCACAUUGGGACUGAGAUACGGCCCAGACUCCUACGGGAGGCAGCAGUAGGGAAUAUUGCACAAUGGGGGAAACCCUGAUGCAGCAACGCCACGUGUGGGAAGAAGCAUUUCGGUGUGUAAACCACUGUCAUGAGGGAAUAAGGCCCGCCUUCGGACGGGACCUGAAUGUACCUUGAGAGGAAGCACCGGCAAACUUCGUGCCAGCCGCAGC